GACGAACGCUGGCGGCGUGCUUAACACAUGCAAGUCGAGCGGUAAGGCCCUUUCGGGGGUACACGAGCGGCGAACGGGUGAGUAACACGUGGGUGACCUGCCCUCAGCUCUGGGAUAAGCCUGGGAAACCGGGUCUAAUACUGGAUAUGACUCCAUGACGCAUGUUGUGGGGUGGAAAGCCUUGUGCGGCUGAGGAUGGGCCCGCGGCCUAUCAGCUUGUUGGUGGGGUGANGGCCUACCAAGGCGACGACGGGUAGCCGGCCUGAGAGGGCGACCGGCCACACUGGGACUGAGACACGGCCCAGACUCCUACGGGAGGCAGCAGUGGGGAAUAUUGGACAAUGGGCGCAAGCCUGAUCCAGCGAUGCCGCGUGUGUGAAGAA
RNAcentral lists this ribosomal RNA (383 nucleotides) under uncultured bacterium. Its description in RNAcentral is "bacterial SSU rRNA". It matches the Rfam family "Bacterial small subunit ribosomal RNA", at positions 28 to 412 of the family's 1533-position model. The record is from RNAcentral.